Long non-coding RNA from Sinocyclocheilus rhinocerous, 284 nucleotides. RefSeq lists it as uncharacterized. The transcript has 2 exons. The record is from RefSeq and is a predicted model, not a curated record. Lineage: Eukaryota; Metazoa; Chordata; Actinopteri; Cypriniformes; Cyprinidae.
GUUCCAGUUCUUCUUGCUGUUUUCACUGUCAUUAUCACUGCUCGCUUCAGUGUGUGUCUCUGAUUGGUCAAUAGGCAGCAGUGGGUGUGGCCCAGAGAAACCCAGCGUCAGUGACAUCAUUAACCUCGAGAUGUUGCAACUUGGAUCCAAACUGAAAUCAAGUAACACACAGUCAGGCUGGUCCUGUCCUUCCUGUACAUUCAUAAAUAAGUCUACGAGACCCGGCUGUGAAAUCUGCAGCACAGAUCGACCCAAUCCUCCCAAUCACAGCAGCGUUCAACAGG